Molecule: long non-coding RNA, 7094 nt
Filed under: Sus scrofa (pig)
Lineage: Eukaryota; Metazoa; Chordata; Mammalia; Artiodactyla; Suidae
Description: lncRNA (ENSSSCG00060059876.1)
Source: RNAcentral
AGUGGAACCUGGUGACUCGGAGCCCCGUAGGAGCCUUGCAAUCUCGGGACAGCAGAGGUUUUCUGAGCGUGGCGAGCAGGCGUGCGUCACACCAUCAGGGCCCCCCACUGGGCGGUCACUCUGCACAGUGACCUCCCCUCCUCACCCAGAGGCGGGACGUGAGGCCAUGGAGGGAGACGCCAGGCUCUGAAGGCAGGGGAGGCUCUGGCAGGCCGUCCUUCCACGCCGGGAGGCAGGACAGGGUAGUGAUGAUAAGUACGGUUCCCAGGCCGUACACCUCAAUUUCCACCACGUCACGUCCACUCUAUCUCACGGAAGCCGGUAAGCAGACUGUGGGCUCCCGAGGCCAGCGCCCAGGCUGGAAUCCCAGCUCCACCGCUAACAGGUGUGUGAGCUCGUGCGUGGGCCUUCAUGCCUCUGGGCAACCUCUCCUGUGAGCAAACUAGGGAUGCUGGUGUUGUCUACCCCGGAGCCGUGGCCUGCGGAUGUAACGGCGAAACGCCUGUGUACACGGGGGCUGCACCUGACCUAUUUAUUAGAAGGCUUCCAUCAAGUGAGCUGCUAUGGGGACUGCUUCUCUAGUAUUUUGCUCUGAAACCACCUGGGCAGAUGGACUGAUAAUGAGUCUUUUGAGCGUCUUGGAGGUAGCAGCGACAAUUCUCCCCGUGUUCCUGGUGAGGACGUGGAACCUUAGCAGGUUAGAGAGCAUCACACUGGCUGCCCAGGGACAAAGCUCAGUUGGGAGGUCGGCCCCACAUCUCCCAGCCUGGCAGGGAGGAAGGACUCGCCAGCCUGAGCCGCACAGAGCGUCUAGUUCAGGGCCACAAAAAACGUGCGGGACGAGGACGAGGCCUCUGGGGUCAGAAUUAAAGGCGGCGCCGCGGAGGCAGGACCCCACCGGCCCCAUCAGACCACGCCGGCCAGCACGGCUCCUCGGUGGUGGGAGGCACAGGCCCCUCCCGAUCCAAGCAAGCAAGACACCUGGGGGGUGGGGAGAGCACGCCCUGCGGAUUCAUGGGUCGCAGCUGCGCGCCCCCAGCCAGGCGGGGCUCAGGCUCCCGCUGAGUGCGGUUUAGACGCCUGGCCGAGCUGUCGUCGCUCAGAACGCCUGCCCAAGCCCGCGCUCAGACCGGGCCUCUCUCCAGCCCGACGUCUGGAACAGGCCGCCUGUCCCUCUGCAGGAGGCGCGUGGAGCAGAGCAGGACUGACUGCCGAGUGGGAGGAAGACAGGCUUGCAUCCCAAGGACAGUGUGAGGGCCUGUGGGUAAGAGCAUCACUCGCAUCUCAGAGUUGUGCCAAGAGGGGACAGACGCCCUCCAGAGGUGGCCGGUCCCUGCCUCGGGUAGGCAGUCAGAGGUGAGUCUGGUGGGCAGGCUGGGCCGGUCCACCACCCUGGGAGGUAUGGGGGAGGGCAGGACCAGCCUUAGGGGGCGUCACAGAGCGUCACAGAGGGUCUGCUCCAUGCUGCCCUUGGCUGGUUCCCAAUGUGGAAGCCGCCACACUUUUAUCUCCGGGUUUUGCUGACUUUCUGGCUGGAGGACUGGGCGCUGCAGCCUCUCUCGCCCUCCAGACACUGCCGACAGGUCUGAGGUGGCCCGGGUGCCAUGUCACCCCGAUCGCUGCUGGGUCAAAGGUCAGAAACGCCAACGCAGUGGGUCUUGGGGCAGCUGUGGGAGCAGAACUGGGGUGGACCAGCAUCUGGGCCAGGAGGUUCUAGAAGUCUGUGUGGAGGGCUCCUUCCCUUGUGUUGUGCACAGGCUGGAGGCGGGGGGCAUGGUCACUUACCGCCCCCACUGCCGCCCCCACCUCCAUCUCGAGGUGCAGCUCAAGUUCAAACCCCAGAUGUCAAACACGCGCAAAGCCAGCCCCUCCCGGCUGGGUGUCCGCUCUCAGACCCCUUGGUGUCCCCACCCAGCUUCGCCCACAGUCCUGCUGCUUGAGGCUCAGUGUCCACCUGGCAAUGUCUGUAAAAACCUGCUGGGAUGUUCUGGCUCCUUCCUCUGUGCAGAGUGGACGCAGGGGCCAGAUGUAAUUGGAAAGACCUGUGGGGGCCAGCAGACCUCCCUCCCCUGGCGGUGGGUACCCAGGGCCAGACACGAUUCCGAAAAACCCCGGUUCUCCUGCCCCUCGUUCAGCAAGCACCCUGCGCCGGGCGGGUGCUGGGAUUACAGGCGGCGACACCCGGGGCCCGGCCCCAGCCUCGGGGCGGCUGCAGUGCGAGGGUCUCCACGAGCACAUUAAGACGUCACUUGACUCGGGGGGCGAGUGGAUCUCAGAAGUAAAAGCAGAGGUGCUUUGGGUCGCAUUGUCAGCCUCCCCCAUGGAAACAAACCCAGAAAGGGAAUGAGUCUUGGGUCCAGGAAAAAUGGAUACAGCUUUCACGAAGGCCCUGCAUGAGCGGAGCCCUGAAAGGAUUUUUGGUCUUAGCUCCAGCGCCGUCUGCACAGUCUGCGUCCUUUUCACUGGGAGCGAGGGGCAGAGGGAAGGCCGGGGAGCCCCGUCGCCCACCCAGGCUGCUCUGUGCCACCGCCCCCUCCUCCUCCUCCCUCCUUCGGUCCCCGCCUGCAGGUGUCUUCUCAGGAAGGGGGUUGUUAAGACUGGGGGGUGGGGGGUGUUAACAAGGGUUGGAAGGUUUGAGUGAUUUUUUGCAAAGUUAGAUGGCGAAGGUUGUCCUCUCCUGCAGUGAUCUCACAAGGGAGGGGAGUUAGAGACGUUGGACCAGAAACAAGAGAACGGCGGGGUCUGUGUUGAGUGAUUGGCUGGAGACUUAAGUUCAGUGCAAACCAAAAGCCCAUCUUUGAAAUCGUGGUUGGUUCUGUUGAGUCUCCGGUGGAUGCGGUCGGGGUUCUGCCAGCCUUGGACUCCGUUUUGCUCCUAUACGGGGCAGCGACCCCGCCCCACGGCAUCCCCACCACCCUGAGCAGAGCCCCCGGGUUUGCCUCGGGUGGGCAGCUGCCUUGCUUUGGGACUUCUUCCUCUGUGGCCGGGCAGAGCCCCCCUCGCAGAAUGGCCUCGCCAUCACAGGCAGUCAGGUAAAUCGAUGAAGUGUUUCUAGAACGUCAAGGGACAUGUUGUAGGCUGGCCUGGGCGCUUGUCGUAUUUGUUUCCGUGAAGCAGGGUGUUCACAUAAGACAGUCCCCCGUCUCGGGUCACCGUUUCCUUGUUAUUAGAAGUGUCAUUUGGUUUAGCGAGUCUCCGCCAUUGGGCCACCUGCUUGGAGCCACGCGGAGCGGAUGCGGGGCUGCCUUCCAGGUGUGACUUCUGGGCUCCAGGUGUGGGCUUUGAUGUCUUCCAGCCCUGCAGGUAAUAGGGCUUGAUCGGUGCCGUAUUGGUUGGACACUGGGCCCUUCCGUCUGUUCUGAGCGCUUUGGCCGGUCUUCUUUUGGGGGAGGCCCCCGAAAAUGGUGGGCGGGCUUGGAAAUCCCGACAAGCAGGACCUGGUACCCCCCACCCCCAUUUCCCACCCAAGCUCUCUCUUCCUCUCCCCUCCUCUGAGCCUCCAGCCUCUCCCUGUGCUGCGCUUACCCCAUUUUCAGUUGGCCUUUAAAUAGAACUAAAUCCUAUUUUUGCUGUAUCCGCUCUGCAGCUUUUUUUAAAGAAGCAGGGGAUCCCUCGGACUCCCCGAAAGAAGAAGGACAAAAACCGAACGAUUAGACGCUUUGAAGGUAGCCUCUGAGAGAUUUUUGUCACCCCUACGGCUCAAUUAAUUCCAGUUUUUCAAAUCACCCAUGCGUGUUCUGCACAGCGUAGGUUCCCAGAGGCUCAUAAGCAAAAUCCCGUGCUCCCUGCGUGGCCCAGUCUGGCCCUUUGCACAAGUCCCCUACAGGUCUGUGCAACGAUAAGUGCCGGAAAGGCCUGCAGUGAACGCUUUACACAUGGAAAACCACGGCAUCGAACUUCCCGUUUGUUUCCGUGUUUCGGAGAAAAGAACGGAACAGAAGAGAAGCCGCCUCGGGGUGUCUUUAGCAAGUUCCCGCUCGCCCUGGAAAAGCGUGGCCGCACAAUCCAAGCCCUUACACAGCUUUGGAAACUAGCCGGCACCACAGAUGUAAAAACGAAUGCGGUCGUACUUAUUAACCCAGGACUCGCGAAACGGUCACCGUCACCUCCCCUUCCCUCCCAGAGCAGAGUUGCGGCUUCCUUCCUGUUUGGGGCUUGGGCGUCUCUCCCAACCCGUUUCCAGAUGCACUUCCUCCCUCUGCUCCCUGCGAACUGGGCUCUGGUCCUUCAGGGCCAGAAUGUGUGUGGAUGUUUGUCUGGGGUGUUAGCUUUUGCGUUUAGGGUGUUUUUGGCUUCCUCGGUGCCCAGCAGAGAACCUGCAAUAGAAUAACUGGUGAAAAAAGAAAGAAAAAAGGAUGGAUGGAAGGAAGGGUGGGGGGGGAGUGGGCUAAGGGCCGAGAGAAGGUUCCUGUUUCUUGUCUUAUCCAGUGUCUGAUCCAAAGCAGAAGGAGUGGCAGGAUUCAGUCAACACCAAGAAGCAAUGGAGUUUUCUCCACUGAUCGGGCAGGAAGCAGGAGCUAAACUGCUUUACACCAGCUCCGACUUCAGUGGCCCGUUCUCGUCUCUGAGGUCUGUGGUUCACGAGAACUGCUGUCCUGGAGACCAGCUGCUGGGGGGUAAAAUUCCAUUUGAAGAAGGAAAUGCCUGUAGCAGAAACUCAUCAGGACUCUCCUCCCUUUAUUCGUGGUUUGGAGACAUCAGGCUUUUAGGAGGCGCUCUGUUUAGUCGGGACCAACUUAAGACAUGUUUGCAUUCAAACUGCCAGAGAUCGCAGGACUUUGACGCCUACCUAACGGGUUUAGCUGUCAGCGCCAUGUGGUACCCACACUGAGAAAAGAGAAAAAGCAAAGCCGCCAGGCUCUGGAAGUCUUUACGCACCAGGCUGCCCAAGGGACGUGGGAUGGCACAGCUGCUCACAGUGUGAGCUGGUGGGCUUUGUGAUGGGAGCCAGGCUCAGGCUCGUUUUCCUGAAUAAGGAAACUCUAACACUUAACGUGAAGGGUGCUGCCCCUGGAAAGAAAGUGUGAGCAGUGGUUCCGACAAAGCAACCCAGGGAGGAAGCGGGUAGCAGAGGCAUCCUUCGAGUCCCAGAGGACUUGUUAAAAAUUAAACUUGGGCGUAUUAAAAGCUAUAAGAGUUUAUUUCAGGAAAUCCAUUCAAACCAGGCAGCAUUCAGUCUGGCAGGUAGAAAGGUGGUCUGAGGAGUUCCCACUGUGGCAAGGUGGCUUGAGAAUUCAACUGCAGCAGCUCGGGUCGCUGCGGAGGUUCAGGUUUGAUCCCUGGCCUGGGGUAGUGGGUUAAAGGAUUGGGUGUGGCUGCAGCUGCCACUCAAAUUCAAUCACUGGCCCCAAGAACUUCCAUAUGCAGUGAGUCCAGCAGAAAAAUGGAAGGAAGGAAGCAAGGAAAAGUCCAAAACGAUGUCCCAAAUGAGAGACGUUUAUGGGCGACAGGAAGCCGGGUCCAGAAAGUUAUUCUAGACAAAAUGUAGGUUGGUAAUUGCAAGGUCACUUUCCUUUAGGGAGUGUGGGGUCUGUCAGGCAGGUUGCAUAACUGGUGCUCAUCGGCUGCUUCCACGUGGGGAGUGCUUCCGCAGUAAUGAAGUCUGUUUGGUGACACGGGGCUUAGCUUAAGUGACUAUAAUGGGGGCCUGUGGUCUUGCUUUGAACAAAUUCCAGCCUUGUACAGACUCAUCUAGACGCAUCCGCAGGUCACCCCAUGUAGCAUCUCUGUGCAGGGCUGCUGGGGCAGGGGGAGACUCUGCCUCCUUCGCUGGAGACAGGGACACGGAGGGAGGGUGAGCAGGAGACGGAGACACUGCUGGGAGACCUGUUCCCUCCCCGAGCCUCCCAGUGUCCCCACCUGCAGAGGGCACGCGGCACCCAGGCUCUGCGGCUGCGUCUUCCUGCUGUGAAGUGCUGCCUCAGUUUAGAGGAACAAGCUUUGAUCUCAAGAAAGGCUUGGAAGCUGAAAGGGUACCGUUUAAAAAAAAAAAAUUAAGCUAUAGUUGAUUUACAAUGUUCCGUCAAUUUCUGCUGUACAGCAAAGUGACCCAGUGUGUGUGUGUGUGUGUGUGUGUUCUUGUUUUCAUAUUAUCUUCCAUUGCGUUCUAUCGCAAGUGAUUGGACACAGUUCCCUGUGCUGUACAGCAGGACCUCACUGCUUAUCCACUCUAAGUGUAACAGUUUGCACCUACUAACCCCAAACUCCCAGUCCAUCCCUCUCUUCCCCCUCAGCAACCACAACUCUGUUCUCCACGUCUGUGAGUCUGUUUCUGUUUUGUGCAUGGGAUCAUUUGUGCCAUUUUUUAGAUCCCACAUGUAAGUGAUACCAUAUGGUAUUUGUCUUUCUCUUUCUGAGUUACUCCACUUAGUAUGAGAGUCUCUAGCUGCAUCCAUGUUGCUGCAAAUGGCAUCAUUUUGGGUUUUUUAUGGCUGAGUAGUGUUCCAUCGUGUGUAUGUACCACGUCCUUAGCCCUUCGUCUGUCAGUGGACAUUUAGGUUGCUUCCACGUCUUACCUAUUGUGAAUCAUGCUGCAAUGAACAUUGGGGUGCAGUAUCUUUUUGAAUUACAGUUUUCUCUGGAUGGAUGCCCAGGAGUGGGAAUGCUGGGUCAAUGGAAGUUCUAUGUUUAGUUUUCUGAGAGAAACUGUUUUCCACAGUGGUUGCACUAACUUACUUUCUGCCAACAGCCUAGAAAGGUUCUGAGAGGGAGUCUUAAACAGAACCCACUUUACAAUGGUCAUGCAGAUCUCUCUUUUUUUAAAAGACAGUUCUGCCCUUUGUCGCUCUUCUGCAUUAAACUUCGGUUAAGGGGAGUUCCUGUCCUGGCUCAGCGGUGGUGAACCUGACUAGUAUCCAUGAAAACGUGGGUGGAUCUCUGGCCUCACUGAGUGGCUUAAGGAUCUGGUGUUGCCACGAGCUGUGAUGUAGGUCACAGAUACGGCUCAGCUCCAGCGUUGCUGUGGCUGUGGCGUAGGCUGGCAGCGGUAGCUCCGAUUAGACCCCUAGCCUGGGAACUUCCAUAUGCCAUGGGCGCGGCCCUAAAAAAAGACAAAAACAAAAAAACUGGUUAUGAAUAAAAAUACUGAAACACAU